Long non-coding RNA from Cannabis sativa, 1565 nucleotides. RefSeq lists it as uncharacterized. The transcript is spliced from 2 exons. Lineage: Eukaryota; Viridiplantae; Streptophyta; Magnoliopsida; Rosales; Cannabaceae. The record is from RefSeq and is a predicted model, not a curated record.
AAAAAAAAGAGUAUCUCAUCUUACAUGAAAUAGACAUAAUAUUCUUCCAAAACUAUACUCUUAACAAAACCAUAGAAAAAGUGCUAAUCUUUUGGCAUUAUUAAUGUUAUUGUAAGUCUAAAAUAUAUUCCUUAAAGUAUUUUGGUAGAUUUUUUAUCUGAUUUAGUUUGAGAAACUUAUAAAAAUACUGAAAUUUGGGUUAAUUUUUAUAAAAAUAUUGUCACACGGAAUUUUUUUCAAAAAUACUGUAGUUUUAUAAAACACCAGUAAAACACAAAGUAGAACAACUCAAAACAAAAAACACCAGUGAAAACUUAACACAAUAUACUGCAAUAUGAAACUUAUAAAAAAACACAGUAAAAAAUACCACCUGGCAGUAUUUUUAUAAAAAAUUAAGAAAAGUUAUUAUACUAUGUAAAUUUCCCUUUAGUUUUAUAAAAAAAAUUUAAUCUAAUUUAAUAUAUGGUAGUAUAUAUUAUAAUAUUAUUUCAAAAAAUUUACAGAAAGUUUUAAAAUAAGUGUGCAAUUAUGAAAAAAAAUUUAAACUAUAAACGUAUUGUAAAUACCGAAACUUUUGGGUCUAUUACAUAAAUUUUUAAAACUUUUGGCAUUAUUAUUGUAAAUGUUUUGGCAGUGUAAACAAACUGCCGACCUUGCAUGUAUGCCACGUGUCAUGAGAAGAGAAGAAUGAACGGUGAUGAUCAAAUUUGAAUCGUAUGAAUAGAAACAAAAGCAAAAAUAGUAAAAAUGAGGCGUGAUCUUUAUGGCUACCUGCACCUGCAAUAGCCGGUCACCAUCUUAUUUAUUAUUUAUAUUUUAAAUUAAAUAAAUGCAAAGUCUUUUUUUUUUUGAAAUUUUUACAUCAAAAAUCCAAUUUACUCAAUUUAUUACAAAAAAAUCCCUACACGCUUACAUCAUCAUUUUUACCUUUCUUCUUUCUUUUAUUACAAUUAUACCACUUACACAUCAAUUCCAUGCAUGCAGCCACGUGAUUGAUUGAUGACUUAUAUCAAUCACAUCUUACAUCAUUCACUUAUCUUUUUCUCUUCUUCCUUUUUUUUUUAUUAUUUUCAAUUUCUUUUCAGUUUUUUUUUUUUUUAAAUAAAACCUCCAUAGCUGAACUCUUCUCCUCCCUUUUGCCAAAGAAAAGUUCUAAAAUGGGGUUGAAAUCUGUAGCUAAUAGGAAUAAGACGAUAACUCCGAUUUUGCUUCUCAACUGUCGAAACGUGAGCAAGCUCCUCCUAAAAAAAAUCAAAGGUUGCUGCCCAGGAAAAAAUUCAUCAAGAUAAUGCUUAAAAAAUGAUUAAGAUGGAGCUGGUCUUCGAUCUCAGAUCAUUGCAGGUCUUCUUUUCCAGUUGAUUUCGCCAGAAUUAAUAGUUGUAUUUUUAUCGUUUUGGUUUCAUUUUGGUUGUUUUGCGGUUUUGAAACGAUCGCGGUAUUUUCACCUUCAUGGUUCGCUCUGUACAGCUGAAGGCUUAGUGAAUGUGGUAUUUUUGUAAAUAUUUGUAUGUGGACUGUAUAAAUAUUUAAUGGGCCGGCCCAAAGUAUUUUUGUAAUUUUUUUUC